This is a long non-coding RNA of Helianthus annuus (common sunflower), 1231 nucleotides long. RefSeq lists it as uncharacterized. The transcript has 2 exons. NCBI's taxonomy places the organism in Eukaryota, Viridiplantae, Streptophyta, Magnoliopsida, Asterales, Asteraceae. The record is from RefSeq and is a predicted model, not a curated record.
AAGAAAAAAAGUGAUAUAUAAUCACUCACAUCUUCAUUUUAUUUCUUCUUCUUCUUCUUCUUUUUUUUUUUUGAAAAAUGCAUCCCAUUCUAUUGUCAGUCUAUUAGAAUUUAAACGUACAAAUCAAAAUAAAGAAGAAAAAAGGUGAUAUAUAAUCACUCACAUCAUUUUAUUUUACAUGUAUUUAACCGUAAUGCCUAGACAACCUAACUGGCGUGAUAUAAUUAAUCAAUGGGUAAAUUAUAUUUUUCGUCCUUUAUGCUUGUAUCGGAUUUUAGUGGAUAGUCUUUAACUUCAAUAAUUACAAUCACAAUCCUUUAUUGGGAAAACUAGGUACAUCUUUCAUCCUUUAGCACUAAGAAGGUUAAAAUUUUUAGUUAAGUCUAUUCACUUAAAGACAGUUUAGUCUUUUUACUUAGUUAUUUACAAUAUAAAUAGAAGAAAAUAAGAUCAAAUAUAAAUACCUCUUUUUUUUCACUCUCUCACACACACUUUGAACCCUCUCUCUCUCUCUAAACAACAGCCACCACCAUCACCCACAGAACAACAUUAGGUUUCACCUCAACAUCUUCAUUCUCUCUCAUUUGCUCUUUAACCAAAGCUGCUUGCUUCAACACUACUUCAUAAACCAAUUGUUCAGACGAAACAACCAAUUCCCCACUUGGGUAGCCACCACCCUUGAAACAAAAUCCUUUUUUGUCCCUUAAUUCAAUCCCAUAAAAUAUGCAUUCAGGUAGCUGGAUUUGCAUUCAUGUUUCUUACCAAGAUUAUUGAUUUUUUUACUCCUCAAAGUUGCAGCCACCACCGACGCACAUCCACCACCGUUGCACACCCACCACCGGCGUCCUCUCCGUUUCUUGGGUACAGUUUCAAUUCAGAUGAUGGUUUGUAGAAGAAGGUUAAUACUUGGGGAAUUUGUGAAGAAAGAAUGUUGAUUUAUGAAAUUGGGGGUUUAGGGUAAAAAGAAAAAGGUGAUCUGAGGAGAGAGAAGAAGGUGGGGUGUGUGAGGUUUGAGGUGUUGGUUUGAAAGAGGGAAAUCCAACAAUAUUUUUUACUUUCUACAAUUAUUAUGAUGGUUAAUAGUAAUGAAUGUUGAUGGUGAUGAUGAUACUUAAUGGUUGAUCUUGAUGAUGGUAGUAGAGAGAUACGGAGAGAGAAAAGAGAUAAUGGAGCGAGAAGUUUUAUGUAUUAUUAUAUAUAGAGUAAAUUACAAGUUUUGUCCUUUUAUGUU